UACGUAGGCAGCAAGCGUUGUUCGGAAUUACUGGGCGUAAAGAGUGUGUAGGCGGUGCUCUAAGUCUGUUGUGAAAUCUCCCGGCUUAACUGGGAGGGUGCGGCGGAGACUGGAGUGCUAGAGUGUGGGAGAGGUAAGCGGAAUUCCUGGUGUAGCGGUGAAAUGCGCAGAUAUCAGGAGGAACACCGGUGGCGAAGGCGGUCCUCUGGGCAUUACCUGACGCUGAGGAGCGAAAGUGUGGGGAGCGAACAGG
This 253-nucleotide ribosomal RNA is filed under the name uncultured bacterium. RNAcentral describes it as "partial 16S ribosomal RNA". It matches the Rfam family "Bacterial small subunit ribosomal RNA", at positions 524 to 776 of the family's 1533-position model. The record is from RNAcentral.